UGGCUGUUGCCAACGCUGUUCCACUGUCGCCCGAUCAAACCCUGAUCAUCAACAGCCCGACAUCAACUGAUUGCUUCUUCCACAAUUGAAAGUAGGAAGAUUCUUGCCCAUGGAUUGAGAAAACUUCAAACUGAAACACAAUAGUUUUAACCAUUUAUGCUGAAGUCACACAACCAAAUAAAUACAUAAAAAGAGAGAAAAAUGCAUUCGCACUAGAAAGGAAAACAAGACAAGUUUUAUUUGUGCGUAGCUACCAACUAAUGUAUUUAAAUUUCUUAGAAAAAAUAUGGAACAGGACUCCGAUAAGCUGUUAAAAAUGUUAUUCCUAAUGUGCAUAAUUAAUAGCUUUCAUUAUAGUCUCUCAAUCAAUGCUCUCAUUUCCUACUGCACUUGAGUCACUCCGAUUUUACUAUCGACUAUAUAAGAUCUGGUUCCGUAGAUCGAGAGCAUCAGUUAUAGAUGUUCGUUGGUCCGGUGUGCAGCUUAUAAAACCCGGAUCUAUUUAUUGAUAAUCAAUAUGAGAUUCUUUACAGUCAUCACCGUCCUUGUGCUUGGUGUCCUGUCUCUAGCCAAAGCUGUUCCGCUGUCACCCGAUCCAGGAAAUGUUAUCAUCAAUGGCGAUUGUGUACACUGCAAUGUUCGCGGUGGCAAAUAGAGAAUUGUAAUUAAAUAAACCCUAGAAUGUAAAAUGCCUUUUCCAGUUGUAAUAAAAUAGC
Long non-coding RNA from Drosophila santomea, 716 nucleotides. RefSeq lists it as uncharacterized. Lineage: Eukaryota; Metazoa; Arthropoda; Insecta; Diptera; Drosophilidae. The record is from RefSeq and is a predicted model, not a curated record. The transcript has 3 exons.